CUUGACAUGCACGGAAUUUAGCAGAGAUGCCUUAGUGCCUUCGGGAACCGUGAGACAGGUGCUGCAUGGCUGUCGUCAGCUCGUGUUGUGAAAUGUUGGGUUAAGUCCCGCAACGAGCGCAACCCUUAUCCUUUGUUGCCAGCACGUAAAGGUGGGAACUCAAAGGAGACUGCCGGUGAUAAACCGGAGGAAGGUGGGGAUGACGUCAAGUCAUCAUGGCCCCUACGGCCAGGGCUACACACGUGCUACAAUGGCGCAUACAAAGAGAAGCGACCUCGCGAGAGCAAGCGGACCUCAUAAAGUGCGUCGUAGUUCGGAUCGGAGUCUGCAACUCGACUCCGUGAAGUCGGAAUCGCUAGUAAUCGUAGAUCAGAAUGCUACGGUGAAUACGUUCCCGGGUCUUGUACACACG
RNAcentral lists this ribosomal RNA (412 nucleotides) under Candidatus Erwinia dacicola. Its description in RNAcentral is "bacterial SSU rRNA". It matches the Rfam family "Bacterial small subunit ribosomal RNA", at positions 980 to 1391 of the family's 1533-position model. The record is from RNAcentral. Lineage: Bacteria; Pseudomonadati; Pseudomonadota; Gammaproteobacteria; Enterobacterales; Erwiniaceae.